UACGUAGGGUGCAAGCGUUGUCCGGAAUUAUUGGGCGUAAAGAGCUCGUAGGCGGUUUGUUGCGUCGGCUGUGAAAUCCCGAGGCUCAACCUCGGGUCUGCAGUCGAUACGAGCAAACUAGAGUGUUGCAGGGGAGACUGGAAUUCCUGGUGUAGCGGUGAAAUGCGCAAAUAUCAGGAGGAACACCGGUGGCGAAGGCGGGUCUCUGGGCAACAACUGACGCUGAGGAGCGAAAGCGUGGGGAGCGAACAGG
RNAcentral lists this ribosomal RNA (253 nucleotides) under uncultured bacterium. Its description in RNAcentral is "partial 16S ribosomal RNA". It matches the Rfam family "Bacterial small subunit ribosomal RNA", at positions 524 to 776 of the family's 1533-position model. The record is from RNAcentral.